CUGGUUUUGUUUUAAAGUUUCGAAAACGAGACCACGUUUAAAGAUUAUCAAAGGAAACCUUGAGUACUUGUUUGGAGACGUCUACACGUGGCUAGCACGAAAAACAGCACAAGAAUAAUCGUCGUGUCCACUCUGGUCGUGUCUCUUUGCAGAAUCGCUUAGUGCACACUCCAUGCUGUUCAGCAGAUUUCAGACCAGAUCCAGCCCCCAUAACAAUGCCAUAUUCGAGUGUUGCUUGUGCUGUUGCAUCAUCACCUGGAUAAACAGCGUCCAGUUUGAUUAGUGGCAUUCAAUUUUCUGUCCUCAUGUACACCAAUGUGAGUGUGGGCGUAAUCACGAGUCUGAGGCCCUUUUGCCUAUCCUGCCUGGUGGAUUCAACUUUUCAGCGGAUGCUGGACACUUGUGGAUGGAUGCCUGGCUGUGGAUUUCCCAGGUUUAAAGGUAGGACAAAUACAUCUCUAUUCUUCCUUUGUGAA
Molecule: long non-coding RNA, 476 nt
Organism: Daphnia pulicaria
Lineage: Eukaryota; Metazoa; Arthropoda; Branchiopoda; Diplostraca; Daphniidae
Exons: 3
Source: RefSeq, a predicted model, not a curated record